Osmerus eperlanus (European smelt) is the source of this 378-nucleotide long non-coding RNA. RefSeq lists it as uncharacterized. NCBI's taxonomy places the organism in Eukaryota, Metazoa, Chordata, Actinopteri, Osmeriformes, Osmeridae. The record is from RefSeq and is a predicted model, not a curated record. The transcript is spliced from 3 exons.
AACGGUCGAGACAGAACAUUGUUGUGCAAAUCUGCCGGAAUCUACCAUCCUCGCUGUGUCCUUUUCUGGUGUAGAGAACUUGAGAAUGGAAGUGUUGAAAGAAGUUAAUUCGAUGAAAGAUGGACAGGAGAGUGGAGGCUGUAGGCGCUGUGUUUCGGCUGCCCCUGUCUAGUGCUGGUCACACUUGGCAGACUGUACUUCUCUCACCCAAUCCCUCAGACUCCCAGAGGAGAAAGCCUGACAGUUUCUCCACAAAGCCCUGUCGUCGAGACUCCUAGCAACAGUGAACUACAUCCCCCACAAGGCUGUACCAGGAUGCACAGUGUGGUGGAACCAAUCAGCUGUCAGAUGAUGACUGGACACAGGAUGUGUAUGAGA